AAUAGAUACCCUGGUAGUCCACGCCCUAAACGAUGUCUACUAGUUGUCGGGGGGUAACUCCUUCGGUAACGCAGCUAACGCGUGAAGUAGACCGCCUGGGGAGUACGGUCGCAAGAUUAAAACUCAAAGGAAUUGACGGGGACCCGCACAAGCGGUGGAUGAUGUGGAUUAAUUCGAUGCAACGCGAAAAACCUUACCUACCCUUGACAUGCCACUAACGAAGCAGAGAUGCAUUAGGUGCCCGAAAGGGAAAGUGGACACAGGUGCUGCAUGGCUGUCGUCAGCUCGUGUCGUGAGAUGUUGGGUUAAGUCCCGCAACGAGCGCAACCCUUGCCAAUAGUUGCUACGAAAGGGCACUCUAUUGGGACUGCCGGUGACAAACCGGAGGAAGGUGGGGAUGACGUCAAGUCCUCAUGGCCCUUAUGGGUAGGGCUUCACACGUCAUACAAUGGCUGGUACAGAGGGUUGCCAACCCGCGAGGGGGAGCCAACCCCACAAAACCAGUCGUAGUCCGGAUUGCAGUCUGCAACUCGACUGCA
Molecule: ribosomal RNA, 539 nt
Filed under: uncultured bacterium
Lineage: Bacteria
Description: bacterial SSU rRNA
Rfam family: Bacterial small subunit ribosomal RNA
Source: RNAcentral